This 492-nucleotide ribosomal RNA is filed under the name uncultured bacterium. RNAcentral's name for it is "partial 16S ribosomal RNA". It matches the Rfam family "Bacterial small subunit ribosomal RNA", at positions 29 to 507 of the family's 1533-position model. The record is from RNAcentral.
AGUGAACGCUGGCGGUAGGCCUAACACAUGCAAGUCGAACGGCAGCACAGUAAGAGCUUGCUCUUACGGGUGGCGAGUGGCGGACGGGUGAGGAAUACAUCGGAAUCUACUUUUUCUGGGGGGAUAACGUAGGGAAACUUACGCUAAUACCGCAUACGUCCUACGGGUGAAAGCAGGGGAUCUUCGGACCUUGCGCGAUUGAAUGAGCCGAUGUCGGAUUAGCUAGUUGGCGGGGUAAAGGCCCACCAAGGCGACGAUCCGUAGCUGGUCUGAGAGGAUGAUCAGCCACACUGGAACUGAGACACGGUCCAGACUCCUACGGGAGGCAGCAGUGGGGAAUAUUGGGCAAUGGGCGCAAGCCUGAUCCAGCCAUACCGCGUGGGUGAAGAAGGCCUUCGGGUUGUAAAGCCCUUUUGUUGGGAAAGAAAAGCAGCAGGUUAAUACCCCGCUGUUCUGACGGUACCCAAAGAAUAAGCACCGGCUAACUUCGUG